RNAcentral lists this ribosomal RNA (159 nucleotides) under Leptographium cucullatum. RNAcentral describes it as "Grosmannia cucullata 5.8S ribosomal RNA". It matches the Rfam family "5.8S ribosomal RNA". Rfam says of the family: 5.8S ribosomal RNA (5.8S rRNA) is a component of the large subunit of the eukaryotic ribosome. It is transcribed by RNA polymerase I as part of the 45S precursor that also contains 18S and 28S rRNA. Lineage: Eukaryota; Fungi; Ascomycota; Sordariomycetes; Ophiostomatales; Ophiostomataceae. The record is from RNAcentral.
AAACUUUCAACAACGGAUCUCUUGGUUCUGGCAUCGAUGAAGAACGCAGCGAACUGCGAUAAGUAAUGCGAAUUGCAGAAUUCAGCGAGCCAUCGAAUCUUUGAACGCACAUUGCGCCCGCCAGUAUUCUGGCGGGCAUGCCUGUCCGAGCGUCAUUUC